CCUACGGGGGGCUGCAGUGGGGAAUAUUGGACAAUGGGGGCAACCCUGAUCCAGCCAUGCCGCGUGUGUGAAGAAGGCCCUCGGGUUGUAAAGCACUUUCAGUGAGGAAGAACGCCUGGUGGUUAAUACCCAUCAGGAAAGACAUCACUCACAGAAGAAGCACCGGCUAACUCCGUGCCAGCAGCCGCGGUAAUACGGAGGGUGCGAGCGUUAAUCGGAAUUACUGGGCGUAAAGCGCGCGUAGGUGGCUUGAUAAGCCGGUUGUGAAAGCCCCGGGCUCAACCUGGGAACGGCAUCCGGAACUGUCAAGCUAGAGUGCAGGCGAGGAAGGUAGCAUUCCCGGUGUAGCGGUGAAAUGCGUAGAGAUCGGGAGGAAUACCGGUGGCGAAGGCGGCCUUCUGGACUGACACUGACACUGAGGUGCGAAAGCGUGGGUAGCAAACAGGAUUAGAUACCCGAGUAGUC
Molecule: ribosomal RNA, 465 nt
Filed under: Vreelandella stevensii
Lineage: Bacteria; Pseudomonadati; Pseudomonadota; Gammaproteobacteria; Oceanospirillales; Halomonadaceae
Description: partial 16S ribosomal RNA
Rfam family: Bacterial small subunit ribosomal RNA
Source: RNAcentral